GAUGAAGAACGUAGUGAAAUGCGAUAAGUAAUGUGAAUUGCAGAAUUCAGUGAAUCAUCGAAUCUUUGAACGCACAUUGCGCCCGCCAGUAUUCUGGCGGGCAUGCCUGUUCGAGCGUCAUUUCAACCAUCAAGCCCCCGGCUUGUGUUGGGGACCCUGCGGCUGCCCGCAGGCCCUGAAAACCAGUGGCGGGCUCGCUGUCACUCCGAGCGUAGUAGCAUAUAUCUCGCUCAGGGCGUGCUGCGGGUUCCGGCCGUUAAAAGCCUUUUUUUUACCCAAGGUUGACCUCGGAUCAGGUAGGAAGACCCGCUGAACUUAAGCAUAUCAAUAAGCGGAGGA
This 339-nucleotide unclassified non-coding RNA is filed under the name soil metagenome. Its description in RNAcentral is "partial contains 5.8S ribosomal RNA, internal transcribed spacer 2, and large subunit ribosomal RNA". The stretch from base 1 to 120 matches the Rfam family "5.8S ribosomal RNA", at positions 35 to 154 of the family's 154-position model. The record is from RNAcentral.